UUCAUUGACUGUACAGUUAUUUUACAGCAAAAAUAAAUACGUCUGGUAAGGUCUCAAAAAAGUAUCUAGGGCAAAAACAAAGCCAAAUAAUUUAAAUCUGGCCUGCAUCAUUACUAAUGUGUACAUGUUUACAGUCUGAGUGAUAAGUGGGCUAUACCGAGAGUAUAACAGGUUUUACUUUCAUCGUGCAGACUGAAAUUCAUAGUACUAUAUACGAGGGUAGAAUAUUUCUCUAUGUAUCCAGAUAAAACUAAAGGUAAGAUCUGAUUCAAUAUAAUUGUUACUGAUUUAAGAGACUAACUGAAACGUGAACGCAAACAUCAACAACAUGCGGUGGUGUAAUGUAAUAUUAACCGAGCAUCAUGCUGCUUAAACGUGAUAAAUAUUCUGCAUUAGCUUCCACACACUACUAAUUCAACAGUCACAAGUUGAUCAUACUGUAAAUUUAAUGAUGCUCAUUGAGAAUUUGUACUAAAAAUUGACAAAACCUGACAAAACCUGCGGUGAUUGUGACGGUGUCUGUAUUUAACACCUUUGAAAGGAAGGUGUUAAUGCAGGAGACCAGUGUUACACACAACAUGCUGCUGUUAUUGUAGUUAGGAGGAGACAUAGGUACAAUAAAAGAAGACAUAAAGAUCGCGUUUUUCCCCACACAUGUUAAUAUGUUUUAAAUGUCAUGCAUUUAUUUUUUAUUUCGCUUCAAUAAUCGUUAACGAAGAGAAACACCAUGAUUAAACUACAGGCUAUUGUUGCCUUUUUAUAGCCAAAGAAAACUGAACAUCCACAGCCUCUGCAUUCAAAUAUGGCUGACAAAAUGAUAAAUACUUUGCAUUGCACACAGUACAUCAUUUGAUAAAUAAUAUGAAGCUCUAUUAUUAUAUUUUUGCACAGUUUUCCUUUAGGUGGUGGUGACACAGGCAGACUGGAGCAGUGGGUGGUGAACAUGAGACAGAAGGACUGGAGACCUACACCAUCAUCUCGUCUUUGCAGUGUUUAUUUUGAAGAGCAUGACUUCAGCAUGGACUCAAAGGUUAGAAAAUGAAUUACAUAAACAAGUGACUUGUAUUUUCAUUGCUGUCAACAUCAUGUUUGUGGAUACAUGAAUGUGAUUUUGGGAAAUGAUUUAUUUCUUACUGUCUGUGGGGAAAUUGUUACCUAAAGACCACAGCUGUCCCUACUCUGUUUCCAAGUCAUCAUUUGAGGACUUCUGUUGCAAAACGCAGGAUUUUGGAUAGUUGUGACACCAAGGUGACCGUGAUGCAGCCAGACUGAAGCAGCACGUUGUGAAGGUGGACGCCAUCAUCUUGUCUUUGCAGCGCUGAUUCUGAAGAGAACGCCUUCACAUAGGACUCAAAGGAAAUCAAUGCCCAAAGGAAACAGCAGUCCAGACUCUGAUUCCAGCUCCGGUGAGGUUCUGCACACAAAUUGGCUGUCUGAUUCGUUUAAUGGCACAAGAAUCCAACUGACUGCAGUUUCUGGUCACACUGCUGAAAUCAUGUCUCACUGUUUAAGUUUCACAGUUGUACUGUGAGUAUCUGUAACUUAAGAAAUCAACAGGAGACAUAUGUCGUGAUUAUAUGAAAAUAUUUAACAUUAAUUUAAUUUAUCAGGCUGGCCCAUGUGAUGACAGUUUAAAAUAAUCUUCAAUAGAAAGUGCCAGGAACGGGGCAUUGGUGGUGCAGUGGUUAGUGCACAUGCCCCAUGUAUGGAGGCUGUAGUCCUCAAACUGGACAGCCCAGGUUCAAAUCCAGCCUGUGGCUCCCUUCCCACAUGUCACUCCCCACUCUCUCUCUCUCUCUCUCCCUGAUUUCCAACUCUAUCCACUGUCCUAUCUCUCCAUUA
This is a long non-coding RNA of Labrus mixtus (cuckoo wrasse), 1842 nucleotides long. RefSeq lists it as uncharacterized. The record is from RefSeq and is a predicted model, not a curated record. The transcript has 4 exons. NCBI's taxonomy places the organism in Eukaryota, Metazoa, Chordata, Actinopteri, Labriformes, Labridae.